RNAcentral lists this ribosomal RNA (759 nucleotides) under uncultured bacterium. RNAcentral describes it as "bacterial SSU rRNA". It matches the Rfam family "Bacterial small subunit ribosomal RNA", at positions 28 to 777 of the family's 1533-position model. The record is from RNAcentral.
GAUGAACGCUAGCUACAGGCUUAACACAUGCAAGUCGAGGGGCAUCGGGAAGAAAGCUUGCUUUCUUUGCUGGCGACCGGCGCACGGGUGAGUAACACGUAUCCAACCUGCCCUUUACUCGGGGAUAGCCUUUCGAAAGAAAGAUUAAUACCCGAUAGCAUAAUGAUUCCGCAUGGUUUCAUUAUUAAAGGAUUCCGGUAAAGGAUGGGGAUGCGUUCCAUUAGGUUGUUGGUGAGGUAACGGCUCACCAAGCCUUCGAUGGAUAGGGGUUCUGAGAGGAAGGUCCCCCACAUUGGAACUGAGACACGGUCCAAACUCCUACGGGAGGCAGCAGUGAGGAAUAUUGGUCAAUGGGCGUUAGCCUGAACCAGCCAAGUAGCGUGAAGGAUGAAGGCUCUAUGGGUCGUAAACUUCUUUUAUAUAAGAAUAAAGUGCAGUAUGUAUACUGUUUUGUAUGUAUUAUAUGAAUAAGGAUCGGCUAACUCCGUGCCAGCAGCCGCGGUAAUACGGAGGAUCCGAGCGUUAUCCGGAUUUAUUGGAUUUAAAGGGAGCGUAGGUGGACUGGUAAGUCAGUUGUGAAAGUUUGCGGCUCAACCGUAAAAUUGCAGUUGAUACUGUCAGUCUUGAGUACAGUAGAGGUGGGCGGAAUUCGUGGUGUAGCGGUGAAAUGCUUAGAUAUCACGAAGAACUCCGAUUGCGAAGGCAGCUCACUGGACUGCAACUGACACUGAUGCUCGAAAGUGUGGGUAUCAAACCAGG